GACGAACGCUGGCGGCGUGCUUAACACAUGCAAGUCGAACGGAAAGGCCCUGCUUUUGUGGGGUGCUCGAGUGGCGAACGGGUGAGUAACACGUGAGUAACCUGCCCUUGACUUUGGGAUAACUUCAGGAAACUGGGGCUAAUACCGGAUAGGAGCUCCUGCUGCAUGGUGGGGGUUGGAAAGUUUCGGCGGUUGGGGAUGGACUCGCGGCUUAUCAGCUUGUUGGUGGGGUAGUGGCUUACCAAGGCUUUGACGGGUAGCCGGCCUGAGAGGGUGACCGGCCACAUUGGGACUGAGAUACGGCACAGACUCCUACGGGAGGCAGCAGUGGGGAAUAGUGCACAAUGGGAGGAAGCCUGAUGCAGCAACGCCGCGUGCGGGAUGACGGCCUUCGGGUUGUAAACCGCUUUCGCCUGUGACGAAGCGUGAGUGACGGUAAUGGGUAAAGAAGCACCGGCUAACUACGUG
RNAcentral lists this ribosomal RNA (468 nucleotides) under uncultured bacterium. Its description in RNAcentral is "partial 16S ribosomal RNA". It matches the Rfam family "Bacterial small subunit ribosomal RNA", at positions 28 to 507 of the family's 1533-position model. The record is from RNAcentral.